GGGUCAGUAGGUUGGUCGUGCCACCGGUACGUACUGGUCUCACUGAUUCCUCCUUCCUGAAGAACCGUAAUGCCAUUAAUUUGGUGUUGCGGGGAAACAGGACUGUUACUUUGAAAAAAUUAGAGUGUUUAAAGCAAGCUAACGCUUGAAUACAUUAGCAUGGAAUAAUGAAAUAGGACGAUCGAUCCUAUUAUGCUGGUUUCUAGGAUUGACGUA
Molecule: ribosomal RNA, 216 nt
Filed under: Glomeromycotina sp.
Lineage: Eukaryota; Fungi; Glomeromycota
Description: partial small subunit ribosomal RNA
Rfam family: Eukaryotic small subunit ribosomal RNA (bases 40-216)
Source: RNAcentral